GGGGUUGCUGACCAGGUGGAAGAUGAUGGGAGCCUCAGAAGGUGUCGUGGGACAGGGUCAGGGAGAGGGCUCUAUGCGGCCAGGAUCUGGAUGCAGAUUGUUGAGACUGAAAUUUGGCUCAGAUCCCUUCUAGUUGUGUCUGUUUAUCUUCAGUUUCCUUGUCUAUAAAAUGGGGAGAGAUUGUGUGUCCCCGGCAUCACUGGACUGUUAAUAGCUAUUGCAUUUAUAGCAUUUAUCCCAGAACCUGAAACACAGUAAAUGCUCAGUAAGUGUUAUUAUUUGCCCCAAACUGUCUUAGUGCUUUCCCCAAGAGCUUUGUGUUGUUUGUACUAUGAGGAAUAAUGAGGGUGGUGUGGGAGUCGGCCUCUGUGUCUGCAGAGAGGACCACAGGCCACAGGAAUAGAGACAGGUAGAUAGGAUCAAGGUGACAGGAACAGAUGUUCAGAGCAAGAGAUGAAGACGGCAUCAUCAACCCAGACAAGCCAGUGCUUUCUGAGAAGCCCUCCAGAACCGCAGCAUUGGAAGCUUCAAGAUUUAGUCAUUCUUCUGGCAAACAUAUGUGGAAGGCCUCCGGGGUAGCACACCCUUCACCGUGCCCUGGAGAUGCUGGGAUGCGACAAAAAAAGAAAAGACCACAUGAGGACACAGUGAGAAGCUGCCAUCUGUGAAUCGAGGAGAGAGGCCUCAGGAGAAGUUGACCCUGCUUCUACCUUGGUCUUGGACUUCCAGCCUCCUUAAGUUGUUUGUUAAGACACCCCAGUCUAUGGUAUUUUGUUAUGACUGUCCUUGCUGACAAGUAUCCUCUUUAAUGUACCUAUUCCAGAUUUCUCCUCUUCCCUGUCUCCCUAACCUGCUCCCUUACCAAGGCUUCCUGGUACCAAUACCUCCUAAAUAAACAACUUGCAUUUGAA
This is a long non-coding RNA of Homo sapiens (human), 911 nucleotides long. Ensembl annotates it as myocardial infarction associated transcript. Its record names the gene MIAT. The record is from Ensembl. NCBI's taxonomy places the organism in Eukaryota, Metazoa, Chordata, Mammalia, Primates, Hominidae.